GGUCCAAAUUUGAAAUAGAGUAGUUUAGUAGGGUCAGAUGAUCAUUCUAUCUACUCUACUUCAAGUUUGUGCCC
Non-coding RNA from Haemonchus contortus (barber pole worm), 74 nucleotides. The record is from Rfam. NCBI's taxonomy places the organism in Eukaryota, Metazoa, Nematoda, Chromadorea, Rhabditida, Trichostrongylidae.